UGCAACAACCCUAGCGCCGCAGUCCCCAUCGCAGCCGUGCGCGUGGCCGGGGCCGGCGCGAGCUCGCCCGCCGGCGCCGCCAUCCAUCCCAUCGCAGCCGCACGCGUGGCCGGGGCCGGCGCGAGCUCGCCCGCCGGCGCCGCCAUCCAUCCCAUCGCAGCCGCACGCGUGGCCGGGCCGGCGCGAGCUCGCCCGCCGGCGCCGCCAUCCAUUCCCAUCGCAGCCGCGCGCGUGGCCGGGGCCGGCGCAAGGUCACCCGCAUCUCCGCCCGUCCGCUGGCGCCGCAUCUCCAACCCGCUCGGACUACAUCCAGCAGGUCGCGCCGCAACGGCCUGCUCAAGAAGGCCUACGAGCUCUCCGUGCUCUGCGACGCCGAGUUCGCGCUCAUCAUCUUCUCCAGCCACGACAAGCUACGAGUUCGGGAGCACCGGAUCUGCUGCUUUUACCCUUAAUUUCACUUUCCCUUUGCGGAAAAGAUCUGCGAGUAGUCGAGAGCUCUACUCCUGUACUCCUGUACAUCUCCGCCCUACGCCGCCACUGCUCCAGCGGCACUAGAUGGAGGCGGCAGACGGAGCAAUGGUUAAUUUUAUAGUAUUGCAGGAGUUACCUUUCAGUUUAGUUGAGCAUGCACCUUUUCCGAGAUUCAUUGCUACUUUAAACCCAUAGUUUACCAUAGUUUCCAGAACUACGGUUGUCGAGGAUGUUAUAAAGUCAUAUGGGAACCGAAGGUCAGCACUUAGGGAAACUAUCAGGGACUCGGAUUCAAGGCCAUACUAAUUUCAAGAUUGCAGAAGGUGAUAUUAGUGAUGAUGAGGGUCAGUUAGAAUAAAAGCUAACAGAUAUUUUCUUGAAUAUGGUAUUUUCUUGUUGAAUAUGUUAUGCAGCAGUGUGCCUAUAAGGGAUUAGGUAUCUCAUUUUUAGUAACUUGUGCUGUUAUACAUGCAUCCUGCUUUUCAGACUUGACAAACUUGAACCCUACUAUUGAUGUUUAAUAAAUCAUCAUCCAUUUUCUUAACAUAACAUAUGUUAUUUCAGCCUUUAAUUUAUGAUGGCAUGAAAGAGUGGAGCUGCUGCAAGCAAUGAAGCCAUGAUUUUAGCUUAUUUUUGGCGAUACCAUGUUUAAUAAACUACAGUUAAUUUGUUAGGCAAUUUUGGAGUUAUUUAUUCUGUAAAAAAGCUUGACUGUCAAACUGAUAUAUUCAAGGCGCUUAUGGUUCUUUCGAUUUUCUCCCUCUGAUUUCAGGUCUUUUUCUUCCGGCCGUUGUCGGGCCCAUCUUGGAUUCUUUUGAGACUGCCAAACAAGUUCCUCAACCAGCUCUAAGUGAUAUGUCACCUAUAUUGCAGGCUUCACAGGGCAGCAGAUAGAGCUUGGUCCAGGCUGCACGGGCACUCAAGUCCUGACGCUGAAGAUACUAGUGUUACCUUAUCAGCUAAUUGUUUGCUUCACCGUGGCCUCAGUGACAUGUGGUGCUGGUUCAGCUUACCGCUUGCCUAUUGUUUGCAAGUCGAUCUACUAAAAGUAACUGUCAUAUCUUGUUCAUCCUAGUCUGGAAGAAACUAACAGUUUAUUGGAAGAAGUUACUGGUUCUUGUUUAUUCGUGUUAUAAGUGCUGUCUGUCACACCUUGUUCAUCCUAGAUGAUGAAUUAAUGAUGUAACUGUUUUUGUGUCAUCCGUGAUGACUUAAUGAUGUAACAUUGAACGACACAUCCGUUCUCAAUGUUGUUUUUGCUGUUCUUUUUUCA
This is a long non-coding RNA of Panicum virgatum (switchgrass), 1744 nucleotides long. RefSeq lists it as uncharacterized. NCBI's taxonomy places the organism in Eukaryota, Viridiplantae, Streptophyta, Magnoliopsida, Poales, Poaceae. The record is from RefSeq and is a predicted model, not a curated record. The transcript has 5 exons.